UACGGAGGGUGCGAGCGUUAAUCGGAAUUACUGGGCGUAAAGGGUGCGCAGGUGGCGAGAGAAGUUAUGUGUAAAAUCCCCGGGCUUAACCCGGGCAGGCCAUAUAAUACUGAUUUGCUGGAGUACGGGAGAGGGCAGUGGAAUUUCCGGUGUAGCGGUGAAAUGCGUAGAUAUCGGAAGGAACACCGGUGGCGAAGGCGGCUGCCUGGCCUGAUACUGACACUGAGGCACGAAAGCGUGGGGAGCAAACAGG
This 253-nucleotide ribosomal RNA is filed under the name uncultured bacterium. RNAcentral describes it as "partial 16S ribosomal RNA". It matches the Rfam family "Bacterial small subunit ribosomal RNA", at positions 524 to 776 of the family's 1533-position model. The record is from RNAcentral.